UAUUUUAUGUAGUUUUAUAGAGGCAAAUAAUGCAGGCGACAAAACCUCACUAUAUAUUAAGGCCCAAGUAAUUUUAUCUCAGUGUAUCUAAAUAAAUAAGGCAAAAAACAUAGUCACAAGUUUCUAAUAAUAAGUUAAAUGAAUAUGUUAAGAAUAAACUAAAAAUUAAUUAAAACAUGCAUUUUCCCAAAACUUAAUUUUUGCGAAUACCUCGUUCUGUCUUUAUACGGCGCGGCGCGAGAGAAUUAGAUAAAAUUUAAAAUGUUAUCAGUAACGUCGCUUCGAUUCUUACACGGUUAGCGCAUAAAAUAUUCUUAUUUAAGGAAGCAUUGAUGUCUCCUUGUCGGUUCACAGCUUGCCAUUUACGUGGGUUAUCUAUUCGUUAGGUAUAAUUAUCUUUGGCUGCAGGCAUAUUCAAAACAAACAAAAAUAAGCUUCUGGUUAAACUGGGAAACUUUUACGGUUUUUUUUUCCACAAUAAAUAAAAAGGGGUAUUUUACCGGUUAUAAUGCUUGAAGAAAUAGUGUUCAAAAACGCCAAAUUAAUACCCGAAAACUCACGAAAAGACGGAGCAAAAUUAAUACGUGUGUACUUGUUCACUCGUCGCGAGACAGUAUAUUCUACAAUUUAAUAAAUAUAUUUUGGCCAUAUACGGUUGAUGUUGCUUGGGUCGCGGGAAAUACAGUUCUACCUAACAUAAAAGUUUUUGAAAGGGUUAUAAUAUGGAUCUCUGAAGAACUACUGUACCGAUGUGUCCAAGCAGUUAAUCUAUCCCACGACAAUGCACAUGCUCAAAUGGAUGUUAAACUGAGGUCCCUAAUUUGUAUAGGUUUAAAUGAGCAGGUUCUGCAUCUUUGGUUAGAAGUUCUUUGUUCUUCUAGUGAAAUUGUGCAAAAAUGGUACCAACCAUGGUCAUUUAUUUAUAGUCCGGGUUGGGUGCAAAUAAAAUGCGAAUUGCGCAUUCUUUCGCAGCUUUCGUUUAACUUAAACCCGAAUUGGGAACUUCCAGUGAAAAGAGAAGCAAACAAUCAGCCAUUGAAAGACGGUGUGAGAGAUAUGCUAGUCAAGCAUCACUUGUUUAGCUGGGAUAUCUAACAUUUACCUAUUUAUACGUAUCCUAACCCGUAUUUCCAAUGUAAAAAGGUCCUGAUGUGACAGUGAUAACUUUGCUCCGAUUUAUUUAAUAAAGGCGAAAGGGAUAAGCGAAUAAAAGAGAUCAAAUAUACUAAUUCUAUUACACUCAGCUGUCAUUUUUGGAAACAUAAACAUAAUAGAAAACCUCUUUAUUAGUAUUGUAUUAUUUUCCCCGCAAGUACGUUAACAUUGAAUUAGUUACAGAUACGUUAAAGGUGUUUUCCAUUACGAUACUUUAAUUAAAAAUAAAACCAUCCUAUUAUAUGUAAUCUACCACCUUCAUUUAAACGUCCUUAAACAUAACUUUAAUUAAUGUUGAGUUAGUUAAGGCAUUCUAAAGUGCCUUAUGGUACAUUGUAUAAGGAUUGCAUGAUCUGUGUGGAAUAAGCCUUAGGUUCUUUAUUGUAUAUAUAAAUAAUAUAUAUUUUUAGAGGUUACAAUUUCAAUACAACAUAUUUUAUUUUUAGUCACCUUUGCCCUUCUCAAACCAUUGACUUUAAAAAAGUUUUGUAGUUGUAAAUUUGUGGUAAAGUAAUCAACCCGUACAAAUACUGUACUCUUUUAUAACAUCGAUUACCUCGAUAUAUGAAAGAAUAGACAAGGUAUCUAUUUAAUCGUAAGUUUGUAAUAUAAUAAGUUCUAAAUUUGGCGAUUUACAAGAGAAAAGGCAGGUCUUUGAUGUUAUAGAUGUAGCCUGUG
Anthonomus grandis grandis is the source of this 1833-nucleotide long non-coding RNA. RefSeq lists it as uncharacterized. The transcript has 3 exons. NCBI's taxonomy places the organism in Eukaryota, Metazoa, Arthropoda, Insecta, Coleoptera, Curculionidae. The record is from RefSeq and is a predicted model, not a curated record.